AUGAAGCUGGAUUCGCUAGUAAUCGCGCAUCAGCCACGGCGCGGUGAAUACGUUCCCGGGCCUUGUACACACCGCCGUCAAGCCAUGGGAGCCGGGAGUGCCUGAAGUACGUGACCGCAAGGAGCGUCCUAGGGUAAGACCGGUGACUGGGGCUAAGUCGUAACAAGGUAUC
RNAcentral lists this ribosomal RNA (172 nucleotides) under uncultured bacterium. RNAcentral describes it as "partial 16S ribosomal RNA". It matches the Rfam family "Bacterial small subunit ribosomal RNA", at positions 1320 to 1500 of the family's 1533-position model. The record is from RNAcentral.